AGACGGAAAGACCCUGUGCACCUUUACUGCAACUUGACAGUGGAAUUCGGUGUUGUUUGUGUAGGAUAGGUGGGAGACUUUGAAACCUGGGCGCUAGCUUGGGUGGAGUCAACCUUGAAAUACCACCCUGACGAUUCUGGAUUUCUAACUUAUCUGCCUAUAUCGGCGGAGAGGACACUGUCUGGUGGGUAGUUUGACUGGGGCGGUUGCUUCGAUUUUAAUGGAGCGCCUCUGUAGUAAUACAGAGGGUAAAUUCGGCUAUAUGCUGGGAAGACCGGUCAGUAUCNNNNNNNNNNNNNNNNGUAGCAGGCUUUAGCCUGCGCCAUAUUGUGAAAAUUCUCGGGUGCGGUUCAUCAGCAGGGAAGUCUUAAAUGACCCCUCAACGACUAUACGCCGAAUAUCCUGCAAACGCAGGAUAGUGAUAUAGUCUGAACUUCCGGGCGAUCGGAAGCCUAUUAAAGGUGUCUGGCCUCCAAGAUCGGAGGUGUUUAUGAGAUCAAAGGUAAUAGAAGAGUAUAAAACGGGUUUGCGAUUGAACUCUACACAGAGAGAAGUUGUGAUAGGAUUGAUGCUUGGCGACGGGAAUUUGGAAACUUCUAAUAAUGGCAGGACAUACAGAUUAAAGAUCGAACACAGUGUCACUCAAAGAGAGUAUCUGGAACAUCUGUACAAUGUUUUCAAAGACUGGGUUUUAACCCCGCCAAGGAUGAGAGAAUUUCAAUAUAAUGGCAAAAUAUAUCGCCAUCUGGUAUUUUCAACUUUGAGCCAUGCAAGUUUUCGAUUCUAUGCUCAUCAAUUCUAUAAUGAUGGAAAAAAGGUCGUUCCAAAAUUAAUACACCGGUGGUUGACGCCAAUGGCGAUGGCUUACUGGUUUAUGGAUGACGGUUCCAUCAAGUCAAGCGAGUCCAAGGGAGUAAUAUUCAACACCCAGGGAUUUUCAAGACAAGAUGUUGCAAGGCUCAUCGGAGCUAUGCAAAGAAACUUUCAGUUAGAGGUUAAAGAUCGCAGACAAAAAGAAGGAUAUCAGAUAUAUGUUUCAGGCAGGAGCUAUGAGAAUUUCUCAUCUAUUGUACUCCCGCACAUGCUUGACUCAAUGAAGUAUAAAUUACCUAAAGCCAGACAAACACAAUUGCCAAAAGAGUAACGGAAGCGCGCGAUGGUUCCCUCAGGCCGAUUGGAAACCGGCCGUCGAGUGCAAGGACAUAAGGGAGCUUAACUGUGAGACUUACAAGUCAAGCAGAUGCGAAAGCAGGUCCUAGUGAUCCGGUGGUCCCGCAUGGAAGGGCCAUCGCUCAUCGGACAAAAGGUACGCCGGGGAUAACAGGCUGAUCGCAUCCAAGAGUUCAUAUCGACGAUGCGGUUUGGCACCUCAACAUUUAGGGGUGAAUCCAUGGAAACAUGGAAUUUAGUAUCGGCUUAUAACGGUGGACUCCUUGCCAACAAUGUGGUAAGGACAAUACCGUGGGAAGUCUAACUCGGGAGCAAAUAUCCAUAAUAACUGGUUGUCUGCUAGGUGAUGGUGCGAUGAGAUGUAAAAUCAAUGCACUAUUGGAAAUUAAUCAUAGUUUAGAACAAAAGUGUUAUGUUGAUUGGAAAUAUUCUAAACUAAGAAACCUAGUAGGAACGCCGCCAAAGGCGAGAGAUGGAAACGAAGGGAGGGUUGCGUAUAGAUUUACAACCCUUAGCCUGCCCGUUCUCACGGAAAUAUAUCAUCAGUUUUUUGUGAGCGGUAAGAAGGUAAUUCCAGAGCAAUUACAUCUGGAUUCGUUAAGCCUUGCGGUUUGGUUUAUGGAUGAUGGUUGUAAGAGUUAUCGGGCGGUGUAUUUUAAUACACAAAAGUUCGAUAUGGAGUCGCAAUUAAGGCUUAUUUCUCUGUUUGACACAGAGUUCGGUUUGAAACUAACGCUGAAUAGAGAUAAAACAUACUACAGAUUGAGAAUGUCUGUAGCCAGUGUCGAAGAAUUUUGCAAACUGAUCAAGCCUCAUAUGAUUCCACAACUCUUAUACAAGCUCCCGUAAUGACCCCGUAACGACUGAUUCUAUCUUUAAGCUAGAUAGAUGAGAUAGCGGUGAAUAGCUGCUAUCACACGCCGACCCCUCAUCCGGCAUUGGCCGGAUAGGGUGAAGAUAUAGUCUGCGCCAUUGGUAACAAUGGAAUAACGUGCGAUGUCGGCUCAUCACAUCCUGGGGCUGUAGCAGGUCCCAAGGGUUUGGCUGUUCGCCAAUUAAAGUGGUACGCGAGCUGGGUUCAGACCGUCGUGAGACAGGUCGGUCCCUAUCUUCCGUGGGCGCUGGAAAUUUGAGAGGAUCUGUCCAUAGUACGAGAGGACCUGGAUGGACGCACCUCUGGUGUACCAGUUAUCACGCCAGUGGUAAAAGCUGGGUAGCCAAGUGCGGUCGGGAGAACCGCUGAAAGCAUCUAAGUGGGAAACCCACCUCAAGAUAAGAUUNNNNNNNNNNNNNNNNNNNNNNNNNNNNNNNNNNNNNNNNNUUUGUUAAACUUCUAUUU
Deltaproteobacteria bacterium is the source of this 2509-nucleotide non-coding RNA. The record is from Rfam. NCBI's taxonomy places the organism in Bacteria, Pseudomonadati, Myxococcota, Myxococcia.